This is an RNA transcript of Quercus robur (English oak), 3015 nucleotides long. It is a transcript of the gene named disease resistance-like protein CSA1, with no coding region annotated. The record is from RefSeq and is a predicted model, not a curated record. The transcript is spliced from 5 exons. Lineage: Eukaryota; Viridiplantae; Streptophyta; Magnoliopsida; Fagales; Fagaceae.
UUGAGUGAAACAGCUAUAAAAGAGUUUCCUUCAUCAAUUGAAGGCUUGACGACCCUUAAUUCAUUGACUCUCAAAGAUUGUAAGAAUCUUGUGUGCCUUCCUAGCACCAUUUGUAGCUUGAGUUCGCUUCAACGUCUUAAUCUUUGUGGGUGCUCGAAUUUUGACAACUUGCCGGAGAACCUAGGGAAUCUCAACCGUCUCUGUGAUCUUGAUUUGAGUGGAACAGCUAUAAAAGAGUUUCCUUCAUCAAUUGAAGGCUUGACGACCCUUAAUUCAUUGACUCUCAAAGAUUGUAAGAAUCUUGUGUGCCUUCCUAACACCACUUGUGGUUUUAAGUUCCAUGGUGCUCUUGAUCUUUAAAUGUGCUCAAGAUUCAAAAACUUGCCAAAGAACUCAUGGAUAAUCGAAGGUCUAUGGAUGCUUGAUUUGAGUAAAACAGCUAUAGAAGAGAUGCCUUCAUCAAUUGGAUGUUUGAUUAACCUUGCUGCAUUGACUCUAAGAUAUUGCAUAAAUUUUGUGCACCUUCCUAGCACCAUUUGUAGUUUGAAGUUGCUUAAGUCUCUUGAUCUUUUUGGAUGCUUAAAAUUUGACAACUUGCCUGAGAACAUAGGAAAUAUGGAAGGUUUGGAGCUGCUUAAUUUGUGUUGGACAGCCAUAAAAGAGGUUCCUUCUUCCAUUGUUCUCCUUAAAAAACUCAAGCAGCUUCAUAUCCAUGGAUGGAAGUUAUCUGAAUUUUAUUCCCAGCCAGCAAGUCCUGAGUCGAUGGAACCAUUAUGGAUUUCAUUAUCUUACUUGCCAACAAAUCCUACGAUGGAAAAAAUAUUAUUGCCUUCAUUUAUAUAUUCUUCCCUGCAAACAAGUCCAGUUCCGGUGGGCUUAUCAUUGCCUUCCUUAUCAGGUCUGCAAUCUUUAACCAAUUUGAAUCUUAGUCAUUGUGAUCUUUGGUCAAUCCCCAAUGACAUUGGCUGCUUGUCCUCUUUAGAAUACUUAGAUCUAAGUGGAAAUAAUUUUUUUUCCCUUCCUGAAAGCAUGUUUCAACUCUCUAAUCUUCGAAAACUCUAUUUGGAGGGUUGCACGAGUCUUCAAUCAUUGGAAAAUGUUCCGUCAACUAUUGAUUCUGUAAUUGCAGAUGAUUGUACCUCACUAGAGAGAUUGCCAGAACUGCAAUUUUAUCUUUUUAGGUCAGAUCGCACCUAUUUGCAAUUCCUGUUUUUCAACUGCUUCAAAUUGGUUGACAAUAACAUGCUUCGGGGCGCUAAUAACAUGCUUCAGGGACAAAGUGGUACACUACCAAAGAAGUUGAAAAUUAUUAUUCCAGGAAGUGAAAUUCCGAAAUAUUUUAACCAUGAAUGUAUGGGUCAUGAAUUGAAAGUACAAGUACCUUCUAAUUGGUCUAAUGCGCCGAUUGGAAUUGCAUUUUGUGUUGUCUUUGUACCCAACAAAUGGCGUGAAUGCCCUCGUGAUUGGGAACUUUCAUUUAUAAUCGAUGGAUUUCCAAUGAAUGAGGGAGAAAUUUCUGGUUCUAGGAAAGAAUAUGGUACAAUUGAAUCACAUCACCUUUGGCUGACCUAUUCUUCUUAUCGGAACGGAUUUCAUCCUCUUAUGAUUACAGCAUCUUCCCGGAACUUGGAGGUGGAGAAAAUUGGGGUCCGAUUCAUAUACGGGCAAGACAUCGAAAAUCCCAGUAAAACUAUGGCACAGUGCAUCAACAACAGCAGCUUCGUAAUCCAUCAUGAUAUUGAUGAUCCAAUUGCAGAAGGUAGUGCAAAUAAGCAAAGCCAUGAUGAGGAUGAUGAUGGGGCAGGACCUAGUGGAGAAUGCUGCUCUAUUGUGGAACCACCGCCAAAGAGGAUUCAAAGGCUUGGAGGAUUUAUGGCUGAUUCUGAGGAUUCUAGUCAAAGGGAAUUUAUUGACUACUUUGCUAUGGAAGGAGAGAAUCAAACGUCCAAGAAGCUUGAAUCCAUUCACGAAGGUAGUAGUUACCAAGACAUCGAAGAUCUCAAUCUAACUAUGGCACAGAGCAGCAACAACAGCUGCACCCUCUGUGAGGGUCUGGUGAAAUCUAUCGUGAUAUUGAACAAUUUAGCCGCAGAAGGUAGCAAAAAUAAGCAAAACUGUCAUGAGGAUGAUGGGGCUGGACCUAGUGGAGAAGGCCACUCUAAUGAGGAACCACAACCAAAUUGGAUUUAUGAAGUUGGAGAAUUUAUGGCUGAUUCUGAGGAGUCUAGUCAAAGGGAAAUUUUCGACUUCUUUUCCAUGGAAGGAGAGUAUCAAAUGUCAAAGACGCUUGAAUCCAUUCACGGAGGGAAGAGGGAUAGUUACCAAGACAUUGAAGAUCCCAAUCAAACUAUGACUCAGUUAACCAUCAACAGCAGGACACUCUGAGGAUCUGGGUGAUCUACGCCAUGAUCUUUAAGAUUCAACCACAGAAGGUAGCAGAAAUAAGCCAAGCUGUGAUGAGGAUGAUGGGGUUGGACCAAGUGGAGAAGGCUAUUCUAUUGAUGAACCCCAUCCAAAGACUACCUGGAUGCAUGGCUGAUUCUAAAGAAUUUGGUAUAAGGAAUGUUUCAACUUCUUUGCCUGUUUGAAUAAUACAAAUUUCUCUUCUUGGCUUGUUGGGGCACUUUUAUAUAAUGGAAGGAGACCCAAGAAACUCGAAGCCUAUCGCGGUGGUAAGAGGGAUAGUUAUGAGAGAGAUGUUGAAGAAUUAGCCAAGGAGGGUCAUUCCUCUCACACCCACCUUGGCACCGUCUCAAGUGGGCAAGAAUUAAUCAAGGAGGGUUACUUUUUGCUGUAUGUGUGUGUAUAUGUGUGUGGCUUUGUUUAUUUGGUUUUAUAGAGUUUAAGCCGUGGCAUCAGUGUAGAGAAAUUAAAGAUGAUCUUGUCCCAUGCUUUUGUGCUAUUUUGUAAUCUCCCAUUUUCUUAGUGAAAUAUUCUGUUAGACACUGUCCGUGGAUGUAGGCUUAAAGCCGAACCACGUAAAUCUUUGUGUUUCAUGUGUGAUUGUGUUUUCUA